Molecule: ribosomal RNA, 464 nt
Filed under: uncultured bacterium
Lineage: Bacteria
Description: partial 16S ribosomal RNA
Rfam family: Bacterial small subunit ribosomal RNA
Source: RNAcentral
CUACGGGUUGCAGCAGUGGGGAAUAUUGGACAAUGGGGGAAACCCUGAUCCAGCAAUGCCGCGUGUGUGAAGAAGGCCUGCGGGUUGUAAAGCACUUUCGGUUGGGAGGACUGCUUCUAGCACUAAUAUUGUUGGAAGUUGACGUUACCUUCAGAAGAAGCACCGGCUAACUCCGUGCCAGCAGCCGCGGUAAUACGGAGGUGCAAGCGUUAAUCGGAAUUACUGGGCGUAAAGCGCGCGUAGGCGGCUAGAUCAGUCGGGUGUGAAAGCCCCGGGCUUAACCUGGGAACUGCAUCCGAUACUGUCUAGCUUGAGUACAGGAGAGGAGAGUGGAAUUCCACAUGUAGCGGUGAAAUGCGUAGAUAUGUGGAGGAACACCAAUGGCGAAGGCAGCUCUCUGGCCUGAUACUGACGCUGAGGUACGAAAGCGUGGGGAGCAAACAGGAUUAGAUACCCCCGUAGUC